This 6831-nucleotide long non-coding RNA is filed under the name Salvia miltiorrhiza (redroot sage). Its description in RNAcentral is "long non-coding RNA (SMIL_LNC005137)". The record is from RNAcentral. Lineage: Eukaryota; Viridiplantae; Streptophyta; Magnoliopsida; Lamiales; Lamiaceae.
GACUAUUUCUCUCUUCUCUCGCUCGCUCAGCUCCAUCUUCUCUGUGUUCACCACUUUUCUUCAUCCCUCUCUUCGUCUUCAAAUCCCAGCAGCAUACUAAGGUAAUUUCUCCUAAUUCUUGUUUCUUCGAUUUUGCUUGUUGAAUUUGAAAGGGUUUUGCACUUCUCUUCCAUUCUUGUUCUUCUUAAUCGAUGGCUAAAGGUCUUGAGUAGAUAUUGGUGGGAUGGAUUCUGUUGUGUGUGAGUGAGGAGGAGGGAUUACCGGAACAAUAGUUCCGGCGGCGUGGUGGCUGCCGUCAUGUCUUUUGCUGUGUUUUUUAUUUCCCCUGUUUUUGACAGCAGCAGGAUCGUACCUUGCAGACCGUUUUUCAUCAGUUUUCUUUCAUCAAACCCCAUCAAUAUAGGUACCAUUAGAAAGCUAUCGUCGUUGGCUUUCCAACGGUACCUUCGGAUUGUCAAUCCGACACCGGACGACGGAGUUAUGAGCCAAUCAAGUCAGGGUGUCGGGUCUGUGCGCGAAGGUUUCCUCGCGAGUUUGAGUCGACCUUCCGGCGUCAAAUCGAUGCUGUGAGGGAGAAUAAGUUUAGGGGUUUUGUAGCUCAUGUCGUAGACGUUCUAAUCAUAGGUUUUCUUCUUGAGAUCUUGUUGUAUAUAUGGCUGCAUGCUUAGGAGUUGAGGUCUGUUUUGAUAUUAUAAAGAGUAAAUGGACUAAGUAGCAAAAACAAGUCAUAUUUUAUUCUUUCAUACGUGGCUGUUAUAUGUUACUGUUUUAGUGCUCAAGGACUGAUCUGGUGCGUCUAUCAUCAACGGUCCAGAUCAUGAGUUAGAUAUAUCAUCUUCAACACUUAAAGCUGGGGUUAGCAGCUGUUCUUCAUCAUCGAGCAGUUGAGAGAGAAGAGAGUUACUGAGAGAAAUCUUUGUAGCAAGUUUCUUGAGUUUUAGAUCCAAUUGAGUGUUGGUGAGUUUGUGUGAAUUGUAAUCUCUUUCUCGUUUCAGAAUCAUCAAUAAUAUUGGCUAACUUUCCCGUGGAUGUAGGGGUUCUUCCCGAACCACGUAAAUCUCAUUGUCGAUUUUGCUUUUAAUUUGGUUUCACAAAUUGGCGCCGUCUGUGGGAACUUCUUCCACCGCCGAUUGAUCGAGAUUUGGAAGCUGAUCCACGAUGACGACAACGAGAUUCGAUGCGGAGAAAUUCUCGGGGAAAAAUGAUUUUGCACUUUGGCGAAUCAAAAUGAAGGCGAUGCUGAUCCAACAGGGACUCGCCGAUGCUCUGAAACCGUCACCGAAGAAAGAUGCAGAAGCGGAUAGCAAAUCCGCGGAGGCGACGGCGAUCAAAAGGGCUGAGAUAUUGGAGAAAGCGCAUAGUGCGGUUGUUCUCUGCCUCACAGAUAAAGUUCUGCGUGAAGUAGCGAAAGAAACGACUGCUGCUGGUAUCUUGGAGAAAUUAGAGAGUUUGUAUAUGACGAAAUCACUAGCUAAUCGUCUAUACAUGAAGCAGCGCCUAUAUUCAUACAAGAUCGUUGAAGAUAGGGGGAUUGCAGAGCAGCUCGAUGAAUUCAAUAAGUCUAUUGAUGACUUAGAGAACAUCGACGUCCAAAUAGAAGAUGAAGAUAAGGCGAUAAUGCUCUUGAAUGCGCUACCAAAGAGCUACGAUCAACUUAAAGAUGCUAUGCUUUAUGGGCGUGAAAAUUCUAUUACGCUUGAGGAGGUUCAGAAUGCUCUUAAGGCAAAGCAGUUGCAAAAGCAAAUCAAUGGCGGCUCUAUGGAUCCAGCAGGAGAAAGCUUGAACGUAAAGAAGUUCAAGUCAAAGAAAUCAAAGAAACAAGAAAACCAGCCCAAGAAACAAGCUCCUCAACCGAAAGGAAAAGAUGGAGAUCAGAAGGAGACAAGAAAGUGUCAUUGGUGCCACAAACCAGGACAUUUAAUGAAGGACUGCUAUUCUUUCAAGAAGAAACAGUCUAAAGAAGGCCAGAAAUUUGACUCAACAGAUGUGCAGAGGAUCUUGACCAAGCUGAAAUGCUGAAUGUUAUGGAAGGAAAUGUGGAAGGGGCUUGGAUCAUGGAUUCAGCCUGCAGCUUCCACAUGACACCACACAAAGAGUGGUUCACAGACAUACAAGAAGAUGAAAAAGGUCUGUCCUACUCGGGAACAAUCAGGUAUGUAAAGUUAGAGGAAUUGGAAUAUAAAAUUGAAAAUGCAUGAUGGUUCUUUUAAGAUUUUGACUGAAGUGAGAUAUAUUCCUGAGAUUAAAAGAAAUCUUAUUUCUUUGGGCAUGCUAGAAUCUAAGAAUUACAUCUUUCAUUCUGAGAAGGGAUAUAUAUAUGUCUGCAAAGGAUCCAAAGUUAUCAUGAAAGGCAUAAGAAAAAAUCAGCUUUAUUAUCUCAUUGCUUCUGUGGUGUCUGGUGUUUCUAAUGCUGCUGUUGUUUCAAAUGAUAUGGGUUUAUGGCACAUGAGACUUGCUCAUGUUAGUGAAAAUGGCCUAAAGGAGUUGGUAAAACAAGGUCUGAUAAAAGUAGAGGGCUCUAGAAGUCUAGAAACCUGUGAACAGUGUAUUUUGUCUAAAAGCAAAAAGGCUCCCUUUAAGGUGGGAAAACAUACGUCUGAGGCUCCUUUAGACUAUGCUCACAGUGACCUAUGGGGACCUACACAAACUACAUCCAUAGGUGGAGGCAAAUGGUUUAUGAGCAUUAUAGAUGAUUUCUCUAGAAAAUUAUGGUUGUUUGUGUUAAAAGAUAAAACUGAAGCUUUUAAGAAAUUUAAAGAAUGGUGCACUGAAGUAGAAGUUGAAAAAGGCACCACACUUAAAUGUCUUAGAACGGAUAAUGGGUUAGAAUUCUUAUCACAAGAGUUCCAGUCAUUUUGCACAUCAAAAGGGAUUAAGAGACAUAGGACAGUACCUAUGAAUCCUCAACAGAAUGGGGUGGCAGAAAGGAUGAAUAGAACCAUAUUAGAGAGGGUUAGGUGUAUGUUAAUAAGUUCAGGUUUGCCCAAAAGAUUUUGGGGGGAAGCAGCUUCUACAGCAGCUGUUCUUAUUAACAAAAGCCCAUCAUCUGCCAUAGGUUUCUUAACUCCAGAUCAUAAGUGGUAUGGUAGUAAGGGAGACUAUUCUAGCCUCAAGGUUUUUGGGUGCAAGGCUUACGCUCAUAUAAAAUAAGGAAAACUAGAUGCUAGAGCAAUAAAGUGUGUCAUGCUAGGCUAUCAAAAGGGUGUAAAGGGCUAUAGAUUAUGGUGUAUAGAAAAGGGAAACCAAAAGACAGUCAUAAGUAGAGAUGUGGUGUUUAUAGAAAGUGAUCUGCCUUACCUCAACAAAGAUCUUGUAGAAGGAUCACAUGAGAUUCAGAGUACUGGUAAUACAAGGAUCAAGGUGGAGCAAGGGCAAAAUCAAUACUUAUCAGAACUUGAGAGCAGCAGCACUCAGACAGAAGAGAGAUCAGAUGAGAGAAAUGAAGAGACUGAUUCUGAUGAACUCACAGAUUAUAAACUUGCCAGAGAUAGACAGAGGAGGGUCAUUAAACCACCAACCAGAUUUGGAGAGUCAGAUAUGAUUCAUUAUUGUUUAUGCAUUGCUGAGGAUAUUGAACAUUCUGAACCAGCAACCUAUGAAGAAGCUAUAGCUGGGAAAGAAAAGGGAAAAUGGUUCAUUGCCAUGAAAGAAGAGAUUGAAUCUUUAUUGAGAAACAAGACUUGGGUAUUAGUUGAGAGAUCUUAUCAGAAAGCUGUAGGAUGUAAAUGGAUUUUUAAGAAGAAAAUUGAAGCAACUGAUAAAGAUAGUGUCAGGUUUAAAGCCAGGCUGGUUGCCAAGGGUUUUACUCAAAAGGAAGGGAUUGACUUCAAUGAAGUCUUCUCCCCGGUUGUGAAACACAGUUCUAUUAGGAUUUUAUUAGCACUUGUUGCUCAGUUUGAUUGGGAACUGGAACAACUAGAUGUUAAAACAGCUUUCCUACAUGGUGAGUUAGAGGAGACAAUUUAUAUGGAGUUAACCUAAAGGCUUUAUAAAGCCUGGAGAUGAAAACAAAGUUUGCUUACUCAAGAAGAGUUUAUAUGGUUUAAAGCAAAGUAGCAGGCAGUGGUAUAGAAAAUUUGAUGGACACAUGCAGAAAUUCGGUUUUGACAAGUCAAAUCAUGAUAGUUGUGUGUAUAUCAAAAGAAGGAAUGGCGUGGCCCUUGUUUAUCUACUCUUAUACGUUGAUGAUAUGUUAUUAGCUGGUCCAGAGAAGUCUGAAAUUGAAUUGGUCAAAACUGAACUGAGGUCUAGUUUUGAUAUGAAGGACCUAGGGAGUGCCAAAAGGAUUUUGGGCAUGGAUAUUAAAAGGAACAGACAGAACAGGGAGCUAUGGUUAGUACAAAGUGAUUAUCUGGUAAAGAUUUUAAAGAAGUACAGGAUGAUAGACACAAAAGAGGUUUCUACACCAUUAGCUCAACAUUUUAAACUUACAGCAGAUCAAAGGCCAAAGACAGAGGCAGAAGUACAGGAGAUGAAGCGGAUACCAUAUUCCAACAUUGUUGGAAGUAUCAUGUAUAUGAUGGUAUGUACUAGGCCUGAUGUGGCACAUGCUAUGAGUGUAGUGAGCAGGUACAUGUCAGAGCCGGGUAAAGAUCAUUGGUUAGCUGUGAAAUGGAUACUUAGAUAUCUAAGAGGAACUGUUAAUCAUGGGAUUAUGUUCAAAGGAAGUACUAAUACAGAAGAAGAUCCAUUGAUUGGGUACUGUGAUGCAGACUAUGCUUCAAACCUUGAUACAAGGAAGUCACAAACAGGUUAUAUUUUCAAUUUAUUUGGCACUGCAAUAAGUUGGAAAUCAAGUUUGCAAUCUGUCGUUGCUCUAUCAACAACAGAGUCAGAGUAUAUUGCUUUAACCGAAGCAGUAAAGGAAAGUAUGUGGCUCAAAGGGAUUCUGGAAGAUUUUGGUAUCAAGCAAGAAAAGGUGGUUAUCAAUUGUGAUAGUCAGUCAGCAUUACAUCUAGCAAAACAUCAAGUAUUCCACGAGAGAAGUAAACACAUCGAUGUAAGACUUCAUUUUGUAAGAGAUGAAGUUGAGAAAGGUACAGUUGUUAUCAAGAAGGUAUCAACAGAGCAUAAUGCAGCAGACAUGCUCACAAAAUCUCUUCCAACUGCUAAGUUUAGAUAUUGCUUACAGUUGGUUAAUGUUCUUACUCAUUAAAGUGAUAGGAAGCCCUGUGAUGGGGCAGUUUGGAAAGGAAGCCUGUUACUAUUAUUGUUGAGCAUUUGCCAAGGUGGAGAUUUGUUAUAUAUAUGGCUGCAUGCUUAGGAGUUGAGGUCUGUUUUGAUAUUAGAAAGAGUAAAUGGACUAAGUAGCAAAAACAAGUCAUAUUUUAUUCUUUCAUACGUGGCUGUUAUAUGUUACUGUUUUACUGCUCAAGGACUGAUCUGGUGCGUCUAUCAUCAACGGUCCAGAUCAUGAGUUAGAUAUAUCAUCUUCAACACUUAAAGCUGGGGUUAGCAGCUGUUCUUCAUCAUCGAGCAGUUGAGAGAGAAGAGAGUUACUGAGAGAAAUCUUUGUAGCAAGUUUCUUGAGUUUUAGAUCCAAUUGAGUGUUGGUGAGUUUGUGUGAAUUGUAAUCUCUUUCUCGUUUCGGAAUCAUCAAUAAUAUUGGCUAACUUUCCCGUGGAUGUAGGGGUACUUCCCGAACCACGUAAAUCUCAUUGUCGAUUUUGUUUUUUAAUUUGGUUUCACAGAUCUAAGGUCGAAUUGGCCGGAAUAGACGUCGAGAUGUAGCUCCAUAUGUGUCGAAUAUGAGUUUUAAUAUGUUAUGCUUAUUUUAAUUUUUGUUUGGGAAUUUGAAUUAGAUUUUGAUGAUUGUUUCACCUUGAACACAUAAAUAGAUAAUCAAGACAUUUGCUUUUCGUAUUAUUAGCCAAGAAUUGAAAUAAAUUAUAAGGAUUAUGGUGAUCUAAACUUAGUAUAUUAUAUAAUUAAAUUAUAUGAUUAUAAUGAAGUUAGAUUAGUAUAAUUUAUACUAGUAAUUGAAACUAUGAAUUUAUAAUUUGUAGAUUCAUAAAAUUUUCAAAUAUGGUCUUCAGCUUCAAGUGUAUUGUAGAUUUUUCAAGAAUAUAUUCAAGAGAGAAUAAAAAUAUUGUUUAAAGAAAUGAGAGCUUAUUCAAGAAUAAGUGCUUGUAAUGAAACUAAGUUUAAAGUGUUUCAAGUGCUAGGAGCGGCGCAUCCAAGGCUCGAGGAGGACAACCGAAGCAAGCUUGAAGAGGUUUGAAUUCAAUCACUUAAGGUGGGGUUUACUUUUAUCUGUAAGCGUAGUUGUUACAUGGUUAUAAUCAUUGUUGUGUUGUGCGUCAUUCAUAUGAACUAAUGGGACCCACAAGGGGUCGGAUCCACAAGGGAUCAAAGAGCUGAACGGCCCACAAGGGGUCAGGUCCACAAGGGACCGAGACUAGUCUCACAAGAUGUCAGCUAAGUGAAAAUUAUAAGAGUUCAAUAUGUUAUGAUUCAUUACACAAUUGGUUAUAACUGCUUGCAGUGUUUACCCCACUGAGUGUGCUUGCAUACUCAUACCCUAUUGUUUAUGUUUCCUUUCAGGUUAAGGAGUUGGCGGCGAGACGGCAGGCAUGAAGCUCCACAUUCUCCCGUUCUAUUAUAUGAUGAAGUAUUAUAUGUUGUUGUUUUUGGUAAAUAUAUCUUGCUACUAAUCAACUUAGUCUCUUCUAAUUUUUGGUGGGUCGAGACUUUAUAUAUAUUGGUUUAUGAUUAUGCAUUUUGAUGACGGCUAAGACCGAAUAUAUAUAUAUUUUGUUUAUCGUAUGUGUAGUUACGAGUUGUGCCUCGAAUAGUUAUGAUGGUUAUAUUUUGUACGUACUCCACCUUUUU